Molecule: ribosomal RNA, 253 nt
Filed under: uncultured bacterium
Lineage: Bacteria
Description: partial 16S ribosomal RNA
Rfam family: Bacterial small subunit ribosomal RNA
Source: RNAcentral
UACGGUGGGGGCUAGCGUUAUCCGGAAUUAUUGGGCGUAAAGCGUCCGUAGGUGGGUUAUCAAGUCAGUUGUUAAAUAGUGAAGCUUAACUUCAUAGAGGCGACUGAAACUGAUAGUCUAGAGUUUGGUAGGGGUAGAGGGAAUUUCCAGUGUAGCGGUGAAAUGCGUAGAUAUUGGAAAGAACAUCGGUGGCGAAAGCGCUCUACUGGGCCAUGACUGACACUGAGGGACGAAAGCUAGGGGAGCGAAUGGG